Molecule: ribosomal RNA, 507 nt
Filed under: uncultured Actinotalea sp.
Lineage: Bacteria; Bacillati; Actinomycetota; Actinomycetes; Micrococcales; Cellulomonadaceae
Description: bacterial SSU rRNA
Rfam family: Bacterial small subunit ribosomal RNA
Source: RNAcentral
UAAUACAUAGGGUGCAAGCGUUGUCCGGAAUUAUUGGGCGUAAAGAGCUCGUAGGUCGUUUGUUACGUCGGAUGUGAAAACCUGAGGCUCAACCUCAGGCCUGCAUUCGAUACGGGCAAACUAGAGUUUGGUAGGGGAGACUGGAAUUCCUGGUGUAGCGGUGGAAUGCGCAGAUAUCAGGAGGAACACCAAUGGCGAAGGCAGGUCUCUGGGCCAAUACUGACACCGAGGAGCGAAAGUCUGGGGAGCGAAACAGGAUUAGAUACCCUGGUAGUCCAGACUGUAAACGGUGGCACUAGUUGUGGGAACCUUCCACGGUUUCUGCGACGCAGCUAACGCAUUAAGUGCCCCGCCUGGGGAGUACGAUCGCAAGAUUAAAACUCAAAGGAAUUGACGGGGCCCGCACAAGCAGCGGAGCAUGCGGCUUAAUUCGACGCAACGCGAAGAACCUUACCAAGGCUUGACAUAUAGGGAAAAGUGGCAGAGAUGUCAUGUCCGCAAGGGCUC